This is a long non-coding RNA of Astatotilapia calliptera (eastern happy), 753 nucleotides long. NCBI's taxonomy places the organism in Eukaryota, Metazoa, Chordata, Actinopteri, Cichliformes, Cichlidae. The record is from Ensembl.
ACUAAAACCAGAGACAUUUCAUGCUCAAGAGUGAGAGGGGAUUUAAGGACCAAAAUCUAAUCUACUGUAGAGUACAAUGAUGAAAUAUCAGUGUAAUAUCUACUGAAGAGCUUGGGAAACCUCAAUACAAACCCUGCAACAAGGUGGCAACCUGUCCAGGGUGUACCCUCACGUCCUAUGGUAGCUGGGAUCGGCUCCAGCACACCCGCGACCCUGAAUUUGAUAAGAGGAGGAAAACAUGGGCAUUUCCUGUCUCAUUUAAGUUUGCAACAGCUUACAGGAUCAGCUCUCAGGAUGAUGCUGGACUCUUUUCAAAAUGUUAUUGGAAUGUCUUUGCUGCAACGAUGGAGCUGCAUUAUGAAGGUCCACUAUCUGCAGAAGAAGGAAUCAGACACCUCUUACAAAUAUAUCAAAUUUAACUUCACAGCAUACGCACUAAAAUACACAACAUUUCUAUUGCAAACGGAUGACCAUACACUUGUAAAUUAGCAAUAAGAUAUUUCCCAUCAUUCUAGGAAAUCCUGUAAAAACCUUAACAGGUCACCUGAGAAACAUGAAGUUUUUACAAUCUUCAGUCAUUAACUGGAGACAACCCAGUAAUGUCUGAGGUCUAAUUCUGGGCAGGAAUCUUUGUUAUAAUUUUUGCACACAAAAGAUUCAUUUUGUGUUUGUUUAUUUGCACAUGACUCUUAUUUUGCUUCUAUGACCAUUUAAUGAAUAAAUGACAUGAAUAAAAGAGGAAAGUGAAACCUA